Molecule: ribosomal RNA, 1041 nt
Filed under: Oenococcus oeni
Lineage: Bacteria; Bacillati; Bacillota; Bacilli; Lactobacillales; Lactobacillaceae
Description: bacterial LSU rRNA
Rfam family: Bacterial large subunit ribosomal RNA
Source: RNAcentral
GGUGAAAAGAACCCCGGAAGGGGAGUGAAAUAGUUCUUGAAACCGUGUGCUUACAAGAAGUUCGAGGCCGUUAAUGGCUGAGAGCGUGCUUUUUGUAGAAUGAACCGGAGAGUUACGAUUGCGUGCAAGGUUAAGGUGCAAAGACUGGAGCCGUAGCGAAAGCGAGUCUUAAUAGGGCGAAUCAGUACGUAGUUGUAGACCCGAAACMGAGUGACCUAUCCAUGGUCAGGUUGAAGGUGGGGUAAUACCUACUGGAGGACCGAACAAGUGGGUGUUAAAAAACCCUUUGAUGAACUGUGGAUAGCGGUGAAAUUCCAAUCGAACUCGGAGAUAGCUGGUUCUAUCCGAAAUACAUUUAGGUGUAGCCUUGCAAUUAGCUUACUGGAGGUAGAGCACUAUUUGGUCUAGGGGCCCUUCAAGGGUUACCAAAAUCAGAUAAACUCCGAAUGCCAGCUAAGUAUGUGCAGGAGUCAGACGGUGAGUGAUAAGAUCCAUCGUCAAAAGGGGAACAGCCCAGAUCACCAGUUAAGGUCCCUAAAUAUAUGCUAAGUGGAAAACGUUGUGAAGGUGCAUAGACAACUAGGAGGUUGGCUCAGAAGCAGCCACCCUUUAAAGAGUGCGUAAUAGCUCACUAGUCGAGUGCUCUUGCGCGGAUAAUGUACCGGGGCUAAGCAUAUUACCGAAACUGUGGAUGCGUAAGCAUGGUAGGAUAGCGUAAUUAACGCGAUGAAGGAUGACCGUAAGGACAUGUUGGAGCGUUAACUAGUGAGAAUUCCGGUAUGAGUAGCGAAAGAUAGGUGAGAAUCCUAUCCACCGAAUGAGUAAGGUUUCCCCCGGAAGGCUCGUCCGCGGGGGGUUAGUCGGGACCUAAGGCGAGGCUGAAAAGCGUAGUCGAUGGACAACAGGUUGAUAUUCCUGUACCGAUAUUUAAUUGCCGAAGGAAGGACGCAGAAGGAUAACACAGGCCACUAUUGGAUGUGGUUUUAAACAGUUAGUCUUCAUAAGAGUCAAAUGCUUUUAUGUUUAAGGAUAAGCUGUGAA